Molecule: ribosomal RNA, 500 nt
Filed under: uncultured bacterium
Lineage: Bacteria
Description: bacterial SSU rRNA
Rfam family: Bacterial small subunit ribosomal RNA
Source: RNAcentral
CUACGUGCCAGCAGCCGCGGUAAUACGUAGGGUGCGAGCGUUAAUCGGAAUUACUGGGCGUAAAGCGGGCGCAGACGGUUACUUAAGCAGGAUGUGAAAUCCCCGGGCUCAACCUGGGAACUGCGUUCUGAACUGGGUGACUAGAGUGUGUCAGAGGGAGGUAGAAUUCCACGUGUAGCAGUGAAAUGCGUAGAGAUGUGGAGGAAUACCGAUGGCGAAGGCAGCCUCCUGGGAUAACACUGACGUUCAUGCCCGAAAGCGUGGGUAGCAAACAGGAUUAGAUACCCUGGUAGUCCACGCCCUAAACGAUGUCGAUUAGCUGUUGGGCAGCAUGACUGCUUAGUAGCGAAGCUAACGCGUGAAAUCGACCGCCUGGGGAGUACGGUCGCAAGAUUAAAACUCAAAUGAAUUGACGGGGGCCCGCACAAGCGGUGGAGCAUGUGGUUUAAUUCGAUGCAACGCGAAGAACCUUACCUACUCUUGACAUCCAGAGAACAUUC